UACGUAGGGCGCAAGCGUUGUCCGGAAUUAUUGGGCGUAAAGAGCUCGUAGGCGGUUUGUCGCGUCUGGUGUGAAAACUCGAGGCUCAACCUCGAGCUUGCAUCGGGUACGGGCAGACUAGAGUGCGGUAGGGGAGACUGGAAUUCCUGGUGUAGCGGUGGAAUGCGCAGAUAUCAGGAGGAACACCGAUGGCGAAGGCAGGUCGCUGGGCCGCAACUGACGCUGAGGAGCGAAAGCAUGGGGAGCGAACAGG
This 253-nucleotide ribosomal RNA is filed under the name uncultured bacterium. RNAcentral's name for it is "partial 16S ribosomal RNA". It matches the Rfam family "Bacterial small subunit ribosomal RNA", at positions 524 to 776 of the family's 1533-position model. The record is from RNAcentral.